RNAcentral lists this ribosomal RNA (497 nucleotides) under uncultured bacterium. Its description in RNAcentral is "partial 16S ribosomal RNA". It matches the Rfam family "Bacterial small subunit ribosomal RNA", at positions 28 to 507 of the family's 1533-position model. The record is from RNAcentral.
GAUGAACGCUGGCGGCGUGCCUAAUACAUGCCAGUCGAGCGAACAGAUAAGGAGCUUGCUCCUUUGACGUUAGCGGCGGACGGGUGAGUAACACGUGGGUAACCUACCUAUAAGACUGGGAUAACUUCGGGAAACCGGAGCUAAUACCGGAUAACAUUUGGAACCGCAUGGUUCUAUAGUGAAAGAUGGUUUUGCUAUCACUUAUAGAUGGAUCCGCGCCGCAUUAGCUAGUUGGUAAGGUAACGGCUUACCAAGGCAACGAUGCGUAGCCGACCUGAGAGGGUGAUCGGCCACACUGGAACUGAGACACGGUCCAGACUCCUACGGGAGGCAGCAGUAGGGAAUCUUCCGCAAUGGGCGAAAGCCUGACGGAGCAACGCCGCGUGAGUGAUGAAGGUUUUCGGAUCGUAAAACUCUGUUAUUAGGGAAGAACAAAUGUGUAAGUAACUGUGCACGUCUUGACGGUACCUAAUCAGAAAGCCACGGCUAACUACGUG